UACAGACCUGCGGUGACUCACUAAU
Molecule: non-coding RNA, 25 nt
Filed under: Rattus norvegicus (Norway rat)
Lineage: Eukaryota; Metazoa; Chordata; Mammalia; Rodentia; Muridae
Source: RNAcentral